GACGAACGCUGGCGGCGUGCUUAACACAUGCAAGUCGAACGGAAAGGCCUGCUUUCCCUUGUGGAUUGCGGGUACUCGAGUGGCGAACGGGUAAGUAACACGUGAGUGAUCUGCCCCCAACUUGGUUAUAAGCCUGGGAAACUGGGUCUAAUUCCCGUUAGAACUGCAGGGUGCUGCCGUGGGUGGAAAACGUUUUUCUAGUGGUUGGGGAUGAGCUCCCGGCCUAUCAGCUUGUUGUUGGGGUAAUGGCCUACCAAGGCGGCGACGGGUAGCCGGCCUGAGAGGGGGGACGGCCACAUUGGGACUGAGAUACGGCCCAGACUCCUACGGGAGGCAGCAGUGGGGAAUAUUGCACAAUGGGCGGAAGCCUGAUGCAGCGACGCAGCGUGGGGGAUGACGGCCUUCGGGUUGUAAACUCCUUUCGACCGCGAGGAAGCCACCUGGUUGGAAGGGUGGUGACGGUAGUGGUAGAAGAAGCACCGGCUAACUACGUG
RNAcentral lists this ribosomal RNA (494 nucleotides) under uncultured bacterium. RNAcentral describes it as "partial 16S ribosomal RNA". It matches the Rfam family "Bacterial small subunit ribosomal RNA", at positions 28 to 507 of the family's 1533-position model. The record is from RNAcentral.